GGGCAGCUGAUCUGACUUCCGCGUGCAGGACGAACGCUUCGGUUUGUAAACUGCUUUUGUACGGAACGAAAAAGCUCGGUUAAUACCCGGAGUCCAUGACGGUACCGUAAGAAUAAGCACCGGCUAACUACGUGCCAGCAGCCAGCGGUAAUAUAGUAGGGUGCAAGCGUUAAUCGGAAUUACUGGGCGUAAAGCGUGCGCAGGCGGUUAUAUAAGACAGAUGUGAAAUCCCCGGGCUCAACCUGGGAACUGCAUUUGUGACUGUAUAGCUGGAGUGCGGCAGAGGGGGAUGGAAUUCCGCGUGUAGCAGUGAAAUGCGUAGAUAUGCGGAGGAACACCGAUGGCGAAGGCAAUCCCCUGGGCCUGCACUGACGCUCAUGCACGAAAGCGUGGGGAGCAAACAGGAUUAGAUACCCUGGUAGUCCAAGCCCUAAACGAUGUCAACUGGUUCGAAGGGUCUUCACUGACUCAAGUAACGAAGCUAACGCGUGAAGUUGACCGCCUGGGGAGUA
Molecule: ribosomal RNA, 512 nt
Filed under: uncultured bacterium
Lineage: Bacteria
Description: bacterial SSU rRNA
Rfam family: Bacterial small subunit ribosomal RNA
Source: RNAcentral